GGGAGGGUAGUCUAGCUUGGUAUGAUACUAUAAAUAAUAAAUUUUUAUAGCUUAAAACUUGGCUGGGGGCCAAGUGGUCGGGGGUUCAAUUCCCCCCUCUCCCA
RNAcentral lists this transfer RNA (104 nucleotides) under Promethearchaeota archaeon. RNAcentral's name for it is "Candidatus Lokiarchaeota archaeon tRNA-OTHER". It matches the Rfam family "tRNA". Rfam says of the family: Transfer RNA (tRNA) molecules are approximately 80 nucleotides in length. Lineage: Archaea; Promethearchaeati; Promethearchaeota. The record is from RNAcentral.